UUGUAAAUAAUAAAAUUUAAUAAUGAGAAAUUAAAUGAAAUCAUUAAAUUUAAAAAAUUUGGCGGUAUUUUAAAUAAUUAGAGGAAUUUGUUAGUUAAAUGAUAAUCCACGAAUGGAGGGUCCUAAGUAAGUUUUUAUGUAUUGUUGUAUAAAAAUUAUUUUAUUAGAAUAAUGAUUAAAAUAUUUAAUUUAAUUUAAAUUCAAAUCAAAAUGUAGAAUUUUUAGGUUUAAAUGAAUUACAAUUUAAUUUAGUAUCAGAUUUAUUUUUUUAAUUAAAAUAAUAAGGUAGGAUUUAAGAGUAAAUUUAAAAAAAUUUUUAAAUUGAAGGAUAAAUUAAAAUAUG
RNAcentral lists this ribosomal RNA (343 nucleotides) under Pheidole anastasii. RNAcentral's name for it is "partial 12S ribosomal RNA". The record is from RNAcentral. Lineage: Eukaryota; Metazoa; Arthropoda; Insecta; Hymenoptera; Formicidae.